GGUUUCCCUCAAACUGGAUUUUUCCUGCCUUGCCUAUCCCGAUGCAAUUGGUAAAGAUAUAUUUGAUCUCAAAUACUAAUCAUUUGGAGAAGUCAGUAAAGCAGGGUUGGCAGAGAGGGACAAAUGAGCAUUUAUACAAUGAUUUCUGAUGUGAUGCUACCAACAUGGGGAAGCUGAAGGAAGACUACUGCAAGAGGUUGACUUGCGUAGGCCAAGUUUAGUAAGCAUGUGCUACCCACAUGUUUCCAUCAGUAUGUUUGUGGUUUCAGAAUUUGUCCAGGCCGUAUGCGUGAGAGCGACGGUGCCUGUACUUCCGAUGAUGGAUCAGCAUCAAGGUGGACACUCAGAGCCGUCACAGCCCUUCUGUCCUCAAACCCUUAUCCAGAUUUGUACACCUUGGAGCACUUGACCUGCAAGACCUGGAAGCUCACCCUCUGCUUGUGCUGGCCACGGUGGUGUGAUGGUGGCCAGCCAAUAUACACAUGGUGAGAUCUUCAGAAUCGUUUCAACCUGGAAUAUGCGACGAAAGACCGUUCUUCAGCUGAGCACCUGGCGCGAGCUGAUUGAUCGGUUUAGGUUAAAAUUGACUGGAAUUGGGGGUGUUAGGCCGCGCAAAGGGGAGGGGGGAGGUAUGUGGAUGAGCUUCCUGCUGUUGCUGUCAUGCCCAUUUCCAGGUCCCUUUCACUUGGGGUACAGCAGGGCAUAAAUUCCCCAUUAUUAUUAUUAUUAUUAUGAGGUCUUGCAAGAACAGUUCCUAUUUCCUUUUCGGAUUGGAUAGAUAUGUGGAAUAUCAUCUCUUCAUUUGUGUGCCGCAUCCUUAUCGCUGCCUUUUUUUUACAGCACGAAAAAGGAUCAUCGCUGCCUUUUUACGAUUGACUUCUCCAAGACCAUUGAAGAGCUUUUGGAAGAGCCAUGGCUUCACCAGUUGGGUUAGUGGUUUCGAUCAUAUACUUCACUAGUUGUCAAUUUCAGACGACUCGGUCACGCACAGAAUAUUUCAGCUGAGCUGCAGAGACCCCGAGCUGCUUCGCUGUCUAUGGGCUUUACAGUGAAGUGCACCGCUGCUGCAUCUCUUCUCUUCUACCUGCAACGAUCGUGCAAGCACUUCUGGCGCGUAUCUGCACCGUCCGUUCUGCUCUUUGAUGGACCCGAUUGCUUUGUCGCGAGGCGCGGCAGAGGAGGCAGCAGCAGCAGCAGCUGCUCAAUUGCUCAUGAGAUGCGGCUGCGCAACGGCCGGUGCCGUGGCGACGGAUGACAGCGGGCGUGCGCGUGGUUCGCGUGACGGCUGCGCCGUGCAUGCCGCGUGCAUGCCCCGCCCCGGCCCCGGCCCCGUCACCGAACGGCAUCCCCCCGGCCGGCCCAGCUGUGUGUGUCGACAGCAACAGCCGCGGGUGGCGCGGUGGUCAGCUUCGGCAUCCCGCCGCCGCUCGCCAUGAGUUCAACGCCCCCACCUGCUCCUCCCAUCGGGAGGCGGUCCACGCGUCGGCUUGUCGUAUCCGCGAUGCCACGUGGGUGACGGUGCGCAAGUCUCGGGGCACAUUUGGAACCGGGAGAAUUUUGCUUGAAUUUUAUUUCAAUCUCGUGGGAUUUACGGAAGUCUCCUGUGUUCCAAACGGGAUUCUGACAAGUAACAGCCAGUGAUGGCCAAGAACAAGUUGCCGAUCCCGAGGCGCUACGGUUGUUCUUGGCCAUCCCGUGAAAGGAGAUCCUCUGACGUAGUCGCUGACACGUGGGCCAUGUCACCCCGCGAUGUAACGUCCGAGGAACCACUUCCAUAUCCUGUGCCCGUCCACUUUCGACGUCCUUAGCCGCACGGAUGCAAUCGAUCUCGAUCUUGGCUAUUAGAGUAGUCCGAUUAGCCUAUCUUCUGCUGGAUUCCAAAGUCACAAUUGGACCUGGUUUACAGGUGUGAACGAAACCUGUCCUGAUUAGCAGCUUUAACAAAAGGUGGGUGAAGAGGAAGAAUUGUCUUUCUAAAGCUCAGGUCGUGCCUGGAAUUUGUAGUAGUUGCAGCAGCAACUAAUAUUGUAAUGCGCUAAUUGGAAUUUUCUUAUGAUUGACAAAACGAAACGCGCUGACUUGAUUUUUUUUUUUUUUGCUGAAAGAAAGAACUAGUAUUAGUCUUCAAUUGGAUGAUAAAAAAAAUGACAGUCUUG
This is an RNA transcript of Phragmites australis (common reed), 2156 nucleotides long. RefSeq lists it as uncharacterized. Lineage: Eukaryota; Viridiplantae; Streptophyta; Magnoliopsida; Poales; Poaceae. The record is from RefSeq and is a predicted model, not a curated record. The transcript has 4 exons.